CCUACGGGUGGCAGCAGUCGAGAAUCAUUCACAAUGGGGGAAACCCUGAUGGUGCGACGCCGCGUGGGGGAAUGAAGGCCUUCGGAUGGUAAACACCUGUCAUGUGGGAGCAAAUGAAAAAGAUAGUACCACAAGAGGAAGAGACGGCUAACUCUGGGACAGCAGCCGCGGUAAUACAGCGGGCGCAAGCGAUGUUCGGAAUCACUGGGCGUGAGGCGUGCGUAGGCGGUUUAGUAAGUCAGAUGUGAAAGGCCCGGGCUCAACCCGCGGACGGGACAUGAUACUGCGAGGCUAGAGUAAUGUAGGGGGGAGCGGAAUUCCAGGUGUAGCGGUGAAAUGCGUAGAGAUGGGGAGGAACACUCGUGGCGAAGGCGGGUUCCUGGACAUAAACUGACGCUGAGGCGCGAAAGCGUGGGGAGCGAAAGGGAUUAGAUACCCGUGUAGUC
RNAcentral lists this ribosomal RNA (446 nucleotides) under uncultured bacterium. RNAcentral describes it as "partial 16S ribosomal RNA". It matches the Rfam family "Bacterial small subunit ribosomal RNA", at positions 338 to 795 of the family's 1533-position model. The record is from RNAcentral.